This 460-nucleotide ribosomal RNA is filed under the name uncultured bacterium. RNAcentral describes it as "partial 16S ribosomal RNA". It matches the Rfam family "Bacterial small subunit ribosomal RNA", at positions 338 to 795 of the family's 1533-position model. The record is from RNAcentral.
CCUACGGGUGGCUGCAGUGAGGAAUAUUGGUCAAUGGACGAGAGUCUGAACCAGCCAAGUAGCGUGAAGGAUGACUGCCCUAUGGGUUGUAAACUUCUUUUAUAUGGGAAUAAAAUGUUCCACGUGUGGGAUUUUGUAUGUACCAUAUGAAUAAGGAUCGGCUAACUCCGUGCCAGCAGCCGCGGUAAUACGGAGGAUCCGAGCGUUAUCCGGAUUUAUUGGGUUUAAAGGGAGCGUAGGUGGUUUGUUAAGUCAGUUGUGAAAGUUUGAGGCUCAACCGUAAAAUUGCAGUUGAAACUGGUAGUCUUGAGUGCAGUAGAGGUAGGCGGAAUUCGUGGUGUAGCGGUGAAAUGCUUAGAGAUCACGAAGAACUCCGAUUGCGAAGGCAGUUCACUGGACUGCAACUGACACUGAGGCGCGAAAGUGUGGGCAUCAAACAGGAUUAGAUACCCGGGUAGUC